AUGAGUUUGAACGAAGCUGUUCUGGUCUUUCGAGACAAGUGAACGCUUUACUCAAUCCAUCUUACACCUGUGCACUUUUGAGGGGGGGAAAACUGUAGAGUACUCAAAGUUGGAUAACGACAAUGAAAGCUCAUGUUUUUCCCUUCUUAUUAAACAAAUUACAAGUCAUUAGAAAGUCAUUUGUUGAUGCAAAUAAUA
This 198-nucleotide unclassified non-coding RNA is filed under the name uncultured Xenasmatella. Its description in RNAcentral is "sequence contains ITS1". The record is from RNAcentral. Lineage: Eukaryota; Fungi; Basidiomycota; Agaricomycetes; Russulales; Xenasmataceae.